This 72-nucleotide transfer RNA is filed under the name Candidatus Woesearchaeota archaeon. RNAcentral describes it as "tRNA-Gly". It matches the Rfam family "tRNA". Rfam says of the family: Transfer RNA (tRNA) molecules are approximately 80 nucleotides in length. Their secondary structure includes four short double-helical elements and three loops (D, anti-codon, and T loops). Further hydrogen bonds mediate the characteristic L-shaped molecular structure. tRNAs have two regions of fundamental functional importance: the anti-codon, which is responsible for specific mRNA codon recognition, and the 3' end, to which the tRNAs corresponding amino acid is attached (by aminoacyl-tRNA synthetases). tRNAs cope with the degeneracy of the genetic code in two manners: having more than one tRNA (with a specific anti-codon) for a particular amino acid; and 'wobble' base-pairing, i.e. permitting non-standard base-pairing at the 3rd anti-codon position. Lineage: Archaea; Nanobdellati; Candidatus Woesearchaeota. The record is from RNAcentral.
GCAUCGGUAGUCUAACGGUUAGGAUAGAAGCCUUCCAAGCUUUUGAUCCGGGUUCGAAUCCCGGCCGAUGCA